AUCCAGAUGAUGAGUCCCAAAUAGGACGAGAUGAGUAUCAUGGAU
This 45-nucleotide non-coding RNA is filed under the name Trichobilharzia regenti. Lineage: Eukaryota; Metazoa; Platyhelminthes; Trematoda; Strigeidida; Schistosomatidae. The record is from RNAcentral.